GGUUGCGAUCAUACCAGCACUAAAGCACCGGAUCCCAUCAGAACUCCGAAGUUAAGCGUGCUUGGGCGAGAGUAGUACUAGGAUGGAUGACCUCUUGGGAAGUCCUCGUGUUGCAUUCC
This 119-nucleotide ribosomal RNA is filed under the name Aegilops tauschii subsp. strangulata. The record is from RNAcentral. Lineage: Eukaryota; Viridiplantae; Streptophyta; Magnoliopsida; Poales; Poaceae.